This 929-nucleotide ribosomal RNA is filed under the name Microhyla butleri. RNAcentral describes it as "partial 12S ribosomal RNA". The stretch from base 1 to 799 matches the Rfam family "Bacterial small subunit ribosomal RNA". Lineage: Eukaryota; Metazoa; Chordata; Amphibia; Anura; Microhylidae. The record is from RNAcentral.
UCAGCUACCUCUCGACUUACACAUGCAAGUGUCAGCACACCCGUGAGAACGCCCUUCUAACCUCACCAGGACAAGGAGCUGGUAUCAGGCACAGAUUUUCUAGCCCAUAACACCUAGCUUUGCCACACCCUCAAGGGAAUUCAGCAGUGAUUAACAUUGUUCAUAAGCGUAAGCUUGACUCAGUCAGAGAACUAAGAGCCGGCUAAUACGGUGCCAGCCGCCGCGGCUACACCGCUAGGCUCAAGUUGAUACUACUCGGCGUUAAGCGUGUUUAAAGUGCCUCUAAGAUUAGAGUUAAACCGCAACCAAGCUGUGACACGCUUGUUUAAAGAAACACAAAAACGAAAGUUACUCUAACCAAACCACUUGACCCCACGAUAGCUAGGGCACAAACUGGGAUUAGGUACCCCACUAUGCCUAGCCGUAAAAUAUUUACCUACACCUUUAACCGCCCGGGAAUUACGAGCCCAAGCUUAAAACCCAAAGGACUUGACGGUGCCCCACCCACCUAGAGGAGCCUGUUCAAUAAUUCGAUUCCAGGUCAAGGUGCAGCCCACGAAGUGGCAAGAAAUGGGCUACAAUUUAUACUAAUAGAGCAUAACGAAAGACUACAUGCAAUCUAGUCAUGAAGGCGGAUUUAGAAGUAAAAAGAAAAUAGAGAGUUCUUUUUAACGUGGCGCUGGGACGCGUACACACCGCCCGUCACCCUCUCCAAACGCUUCUGCAAAGUUAAUAACAAAAUUAUACACACCAGAAGAGGUAAAUCGUAACACGGUAAGCGUACUGGAAAGUGCGCUUGGAUUAAUAAAAUGUAGCUUAAUUAAAGCAUCUUGCUUACACCAAGAACAUGUCCGUUCAACUCACAUCAUUUUGAGCCAAAAACUUAGCUCUUUGCCCUUAAUAAAAAUUUUUUCAACUAACAACCCCCU